Molecule: ribosomal RNA, 439 nt
Filed under: uncultured bacterium
Lineage: Bacteria
Description: partial 16S ribosomal RNA
Rfam family: Bacterial small subunit ribosomal RNA
Source: RNAcentral
CCUACGGGAGGCUGCAGUAGGGAAUAUUGCUCAAUGGGGGAAACCCUGAAGCAGCAACGCCGCGUGGAGGAUGAAGGUUUUCGGAUUGUAAACUCCUUUUGUUAGAGAAGAUAAUGACGGUAUCUAACGAAUAAGCACCGGCUAACUCCGUGCCAGCAGCCGCGGUAAUACGGAGGGUGCAAGCGUUACUCGGAAUCACUGGGCGAAAAGAGCGCGGAGGCGGGAUAGCAAGUCAGAUGUGAAAUCAUAUGGCUAAACCAUAGAACUGCAUUUGAAACGGUUAUUCUAGAGUAUGGGAGAGGUAGGUGGAAUUCUGGGGGUAGGGGUAAAAUCCGUAGAGAUCAAGAGGAAUACUCAUGGCGAAGCGACCUGCUAGAACAUAACUGACGCUGAUGCGCGAAAGCGUGGGGAGCAAACAGGAUUAGAUACCCGAGUAGUC